Molecule: non-coding RNA, 71 nt
Organism: Omnitrophica WOR_2 bacterium
Lineage: Bacteria; Pseudomonadati; Candidatus Omnitrophota
Source: Rfam
UGGGGAGUAGUGUAACGGUAGCACAAGAGCCUUUGAAGCUCUACGUCCAGGUUCGAGCCCUGGCUCCCCAG